UACGUAGGGUGCAAGCGUUGUCCGGAAUUAUUGGGCGUAAAGAGCUCGUAGGCGGUCUGUCGCGUCUGCUGUGAAAACUCAGGGCUUAACCCUGAGCUUGCAGUGGGUACAAGCAGACUAGAGUGCGGUAAAAAAGACUGGAAUUCCUGGUGUAGCGGUGAAAUGCGCAGAUAUCAGGAGGAACACCGGUGGCGAAGGCGGGUCUCUGGGCCGUAACUGACGCUGAGGAGCGAAAGCAUGGGGAGCGAACAGG
Molecule: ribosomal RNA, 253 nt
Filed under: uncultured bacterium
Lineage: Bacteria
Description: partial 16S ribosomal RNA
Rfam family: Bacterial small subunit ribosomal RNA
Source: RNAcentral